This 278-nucleotide unclassified non-coding RNA is filed under the name Hevea brasiliensis (rubber tree). The record is from RNAcentral. Lineage: Eukaryota; Viridiplantae; Streptophyta; Magnoliopsida; Malpighiales; Euphorbiaceae.
GAGAAAUAUGAGAAAAGUCCAGCUUUGUUCGGUGAACUCGCCAAAGGCCAAAGCCCCAAAUUCAUGGUGUUUGCGUGCUCGGAUUCCCGGGUCUGCCCAUCUCAUGUAUUGGAUUUUCAACCCGGUGAGGCUUUUGUGGUCCGAAACGUUGCCAACAUGGUCCCUCCAUUUGAUAAGACAAAAUACUCUGGAGUUGGGGCCGCUGUUGAGUACGCUGUACUCCAUCUUAAGGUAGAGACGAUUGUAGUGAUUGGACAUAGCUGCUGUGGUGGGAUAAA